GUUAUUGCAUCCCAGAGUCUGAGCUUGAAUAAAUGCUACGAAAGCCUCCAGCGUGUUUGUUGCAUGCUGCUCUCCCAUCAAGGCAUAAUCGUUGUAUAAUAAGGGAUAGUGUGACAUUUCUUAUCAUAUUGCAGCAUGAAGACUGUAUUUUGUGCUUAUUGUGGAUUUCAGGGGUAUAACAUUUAUAUUUGUGAUACACAACAUGCGUGGUUGUUCAAUGUUGCCCAUGAAAUCAAAAUCCUACCACUUCUCUUUCAAGAUUUUCUGGACCAAAGUGUAUCCUGGGACUCCAAUGCAAGUUGUCAUGCAAAACUGUCACCAUUUGAAGCUACUUAGCUGAGUGAAAACAUCACUGGUAGGGCAAAUCCCAAGCAAAAAUUCACAAGUAAAUUGAAUGUGCCAGCUGUUGGAGGGCUGCAUCUGGCUUCUGUAAACCCCUGAUUUCAAAAGGGGGUUCAGCUAAAACUCUUCAUUGUUCUUUGUGAUUGAGAUGCUCUUUUGUACAAAUAUGAACUCAUAAAAUAAAUGUAUGCUAAUGAAA
This 541-nucleotide long non-coding RNA is filed under the name Homo sapiens (human). RNAcentral describes it as "non-protein coding lnc-PNMA8C-5:1". The record is from RNAcentral. Lineage: Eukaryota; Metazoa; Chordata; Mammalia; Primates; Hominidae.